Long non-coding RNA from Zalophus californianus (California sea lion), 522 nucleotides. RefSeq lists it as uncharacterized. The record is from RefSeq and is a predicted model, not a curated record. Lineage: Eukaryota; Metazoa; Chordata; Mammalia; Carnivora; Otariidae. The transcript has 4 exons.
UCACAAUACAAACAGCUACUGGAUGACAGUUACAGUUAGACAGAGUGAGCCCUCCGUUCAGAUCACUCAAGUCUCGCUUGGCUCCUGGCGGGAAGGAAGGAGAACACUUGGCCCACAGGAUGUUAACAGGCAUUGCUCACAAAAAGCCUUCUGGACGGAAAUGUUGUGAAAAUCCAGGUUUAACAAAGUUAAGCAAACUUUGUUUGGUGUUUGUCUUCUCAAGAUCUUUUUCCGUGGAUGCAAACUCACUCAGACUCUCUGAGAACAUGAGCAUGCCCACUUCUCCAGAUCUUCACAAAUACCUGCUUUAUUGAUGUAUAACUGAUUUACAAAGACCUACACAUAUUUAAUGUGAAUAAUUUGAUGAGUUUGGACAGAUGCAAACACCUGUGAUACUAUCACCACAUCAAGGUAACAGACAGAUCCAACACCUCACAGAGUUUUCUUGUGUCCCUUGGCUUUGUUUCUUUUUCAUUUGCUUUAAGUGGUAAGAGCAUUUAACAUGAGAUCUACUCUCUUAAC